RNAcentral lists this ribosomal RNA (465 nucleotides) under Vreelandella stevensii. RNAcentral's name for it is "partial 16S ribosomal RNA". It matches the Rfam family "Bacterial small subunit ribosomal RNA", at positions 338 to 795 of the family's 1533-position model. The record is from RNAcentral. Lineage: Bacteria; Pseudomonadati; Pseudomonadota; Gammaproteobacteria; Oceanospirillales; Halomonadaceae.
CCUACGGGCGGCUGCAGUGGGGAAUAUUGGACAAUGGGGGCAACCCUGAUCCAGCCAUGCCGCGUGUGUGAAGAAGGCCCUCGGGUUGUAAAGCACUUUCAGUGAGGAAGAACGCCUGGUGGUUAAUACCCAUCAGGAAAGACAUCACUCACAGAAGAAGCACCGGCUAACUCCGUGCCAGCAGCCGCGGUAAUACGGAGGGUGCGAGCGUUAAUCGGAAUUACUGGGCGUAAAGCGCGCGUAGGUGGCUUGAUAAGCCAGUUGUGAAAGCCCCGGGCUCAACCUGGGAACGGCAUCCGGAACUGUCAAGCUAGAGUGCAGGAGAGGAAGGUAGAAUUCCCGGUGUAGCGGUGAAAUGCGUGGAGAUCGGGAGGAAUACCAGUGGCGAAGGCGGCCUUCUGGACUGACACUGACACUGAGGUGCGAAAGCGUGGGUAGCAAACAGGAUUAGAUACCCCAGUAGUC